GUAGCGGUUUUUUUCUCAAAAUGGUAUAAAAUAAUACUAUUUUUAAGAUAAACUUAAACAACAAAAUACCUAUUUUUCAAUACUUUGAUAAAAAAUGAUAACAAAACGCAUUAGGCUCAAAAUCUGGUAAGGGCAACCUUGUGUCGGUUCGAGUCCGACCUCGGGCACCA
RNAcentral lists this transfer RNA (170 nucleotides) under Campylobacter subantarcticus LMG 24377. Its description in RNAcentral is "tRNA-Leu (CAA) (tRNA-Leu-CAA-2-1)". Lineage: Bacteria; Pseudomonadati; Campylobacterota; Epsilonproteobacteria; Campylobacterales; Campylobacteraceae. The record is from RNAcentral.